GUGGGGUCUCCCUGUGUUGCCCAGGCUGGGCUCAAGCAAUCAUCCUGACUCGGCCUCAGAAAGUGCUGAGAUUACAGGCAUGAGCCACUCUGCUCAGCCUGUUGAUUUCUCUUUAUUUAUUUAUUUAUUUACUGUUUUUUGAGAUGGAGUCUCACUCUGUUGGCCAGGUUAGAGUGCAGUGGCACGAUCUUGGCUCGCUGCAGCCUGCGCGUCCCAGGUUCAAGUUGUAUCAGAGUAAGAUGGACGGUAGCUUUGAUUGUGAUUGUGGUGAGCUGGAGCCACCUGAUCACUAACAAAAGACAUCUUCUGUUAACCAACAGCCACCAGGGCUUCCUGUUGAAAUAAAUAUAUAGCAACAAAGGAAGAAAAGAAGCAAAACGGAAAUAGUGCUUACCAGCACCUUAGAAUGAUGCUGCUCAGGACCAGUCCAACACUGAAUGUAUCUGC
Molecule: small RNA, 447 nt
Filed under: Pongo abelii (Sumatran orangutan)
Lineage: Eukaryota; Metazoa; Chordata; Mammalia; Primates; Hominidae
Description: processed transcript
Source: RNAcentral